RNAcentral lists this ribosomal RNA (291 nucleotides) under Klebsiella pneumoniae. RNAcentral's name for it is "partial 23S ribosomal RNA". It matches the Rfam family "Bacterial large subunit ribosomal RNA", at positions 1433 to 1724 of the family's 2925-position model. Lineage: Bacteria; Pseudomonadati; Pseudomonadota; Gammaproteobacteria; Enterobacterales; Enterobacteriaceae. The record is from RNAcentral.
AUAUUCCUGUACUUCCAGUUAUUGCGAUGGAGGGACGGAGAAGGUUAGGCCAGCCUGGCGUUGGUUGUCCAGGUUUAAGGUGGUAGGCUGAAAUCUUAGGCAAAUCCGGGAUUUCAAGGCCGAGAGCUGAUGACGAGUUGCCUUUAGGCGACGAAGUGGUUGAUACCAUGCUUCCAAGAAAAGCUCCUAAGCUUCAGAUAACUGGGAACCGUACCCCAAACCGACACAGGUGGUUAGGUAGAGAAUACCAAGGCGCUUGAGAGAACUCGGGUGAAGAAACUAGGCAAAAUG